GGAAUCAGUCAAGACCAAGCAUCCCCAACUGCUCUAUGAAUCUAAGCUGUACAUGCUUCUUCUAGGAGGGACCGGUAUUCCUCAUUUAAAAUGGUUUGGAGUUGAGGGUGAAUACAAUGUCAUGGUUAUUGAUUUCCUUGGACCAAGCCUAGAAGAUUUGUUCAACUAUUGCAAUCGGAAGUUUUCUUUAAAAGCAGUUCUAUUGCUUGCAGAUCAAUAAACAGAGUUGAGUAUAUGCACUCUCGUGGUUUUCUUCAGCGUGACAUAAAGCCCGAUAACUUUUUGAUGGGUCUAGGGUGCAAAGCAA
Molecule: long non-coding RNA, 307 nt
Organism: Hibiscus syriacus
Lineage: Eukaryota; Viridiplantae; Streptophyta; Magnoliopsida; Malvales; Malvaceae
Exons: 3
Source: RefSeq, a predicted model, not a curated record